This 85-nucleotide transfer RNA is filed under the name Salmonella enterica subsp. enterica. RNAcentral's name for it is "tRNA-Leu". The record is from RNAcentral. Lineage: Bacteria; Pseudomonadati; Pseudomonadota; Gammaproteobacteria; Enterobacterales; Enterobacteriaceae.
GCGAAGGUGGCGGAAUUGGUAGACGCGCUAGCUUCAGGUGUGUUAGUGCGUGUUCUACGGACGUAAAAUUCGUCCCCUCGCACCA